This 410-nucleotide ribosomal RNA is filed under the name uncultured bacterium. RNAcentral's name for it is "bacterial SSU rRNA". It matches the Rfam family "Bacterial small subunit ribosomal RNA", at positions 370 to 772 of the family's 1533-position model. The record is from RNAcentral.
AAUGGGGGCAACCCUGAUCCAGCCAUGCCGCGUGAGUGAAGAAGGCCUUCGGGUUGUAAAGCUCUUUCGGACGGAAAGAAAUCGCGCAGGUAAAUAAUCUGCGUGGAUGACGGUACCGUAAGAAGAAGCACCGGCUAACUACGUGCCAGCAGCCGCGGUAAUACGUAGGGUGCGAGCAUUAUCCGGAAUCACUGGGUUUAAAGGGUGCGUAGGCGGUUUGAUAAGUCAGGGGUGAAAGGCCGUCGCUUAACGAUGGGACUGCCAUUGAUACUGUUAGACUUGAAUCAGGAUGAGGUUGGCGGAAUGUGGCAUGUAGCGGUGAAAUGCUUAGAUAUGCCAUGGAAUACCGAUUGCGAAGGCAGCUGACUGGACCUGAAUUGACGCUGAGGCACGAAAGCGUGGGGAGCGAA